Molecule: RNA transcript, 1377 nt
Organism: Capra hircus (goat)
Lineage: Eukaryota; Metazoa; Chordata; Mammalia; Artiodactyla; Bovidae
Gene: VEGFB
Gene name: vascular endothelial growth factor B
Exons: 7
Source: RefSeq, a predicted model, not a curated record
CCCGCCGCCCGCCGCCACCACCGGCCGCCCUCCCGCUCGGCUCCUCCGGCCGCCGCCGCCGCCGCCGCUGCGUUGCGUUGCGCUGCCUGCGCCCAGGGCUCGGGAGGGGGCCGCGGAGGAGCCGCCCCCCGCGCCCGGCCCCCGCCCGUCGCGCCCGGGCCCGCGCCAUGGGGCUCUGGCUGCCGCCGCCUCCCGCGCCGCCCGGCUAGGGCGAUGCGGGCGCCCCCGGCGCGCGGCCCCCGCGGGCACCAUGAGCCCCCUGCUCCGCCGCCUGCUGCUCGCCGUGCUCCUGCAGCUGGCCCCCGCCCAGGCUCCCAUCUCUCAGCCUGAUGCCCCUGGUCACCAGAAGAAAGUGGUGUCAUGGAUAGACGUGUAUGCUCGUGCCACCUGCCAGCCGCGGGAGGUGGUGGUGCCCCUGAACAUGGAGCUCAUGGGCACUGUGGCCAAGCAACUGGUGCCCAGCUGCGUGACAGUGCAGCGCUGUGGCGGCUGCUGCCCUGACGAUGGCCUGGAGUGCGUGCCCACUGGGCAGCACCAAGUCCGAAUGCAGAUCCUCAUGAUCCAGUACCCAAGCAGUCAGCUGGGGGAGAUGUCCCUGGAAGAACACAGCCAGUGCGAAUGCAGACCAAAAAAACGAGAGAGUGCUGUGAAGCCAGACAGGGCUUCCACUCCCCACCACCGUCCCCAGCCCCGCUCUGUUCCGGGCUGGGACCCUGCCCCUGGAGCACCCUCCCCAGCUGACAUCACCCAUCCCACUCCAGCCCCAGGCCCCUCUGCCCACGCUGCCCCCAGCGCCGCCAGCGCCCUGACCCCCGGACCUGCCACUGCCGCUGCCGACGCCGCAGCUUCCUCCGUUGUCAAGGGCGGGGCUUAGAGCUCAACCCAGACACCUGCAGGUGAGGAGUCGGGAGUGGUGUCCAGGCCCUUCCUGGAGCAGGUCCAGGUGCCAGAAGCUGCGAAGGUGACAAACUGCUUUUCAGACUCAGUGGGGCCCCUAGCCUCACAGCCCUCCCCCCAGAGAGGGCAGGAGCGCAGCCUGGUGAGAACCGUCCAGUCCCCAAGACCUCAGCCUGGGCAGAAGCUCCUCUGGGACCUGGGCCUCUCGGAGGGCCUUCCAGCCGCCCCUUGUCUCCCCAAGGCUGCCAUCCAACAACGUGGACAGAGUUGGAUGAGGAGACCCAGGGGGUCACAUACCAACCUGGAAGAGAAUGGGGUCCCGACUCAGAUUUUAACCACCUUGUACAAGUGAGCAUCUAACAGCUGGCUCCUCUGUCCCCUCACUAAGAAGACCCCGAUCCUCUACAAAAAUGUGGGAGUUGGGCUUCAGCGCAGGAACUGUGAACCCCAGUCCUGAUAAAAGAGAUGGAAGGAACUGUC